RNAcentral lists this ribosomal RNA (204 nucleotides) under uncultured bacterium. Its description in RNAcentral is "partial 16S ribosomal RNA". It matches the Rfam family "Bacterial small subunit ribosomal RNA", at positions 524 to 728 of the family's 1533-position model. The record is from RNAcentral.
UACGUAGGUGACAAGCGUUGUCCGGAUUUACUGGCGUAAAGAGCGCGCAGGCGGUCGAUCAAGUCGAGUGUGAAAGCCCCCGGCUCAACUGGGGAGGGUCAUUCGAUACUGAUCGACUCGAAGGCAGGAGAGGGUAGUGGAAUUCCCGGUGUAGUGGUGAAAUGCGUAGAUAUCGGGAGGAACACCGGUGGCGAAGGCGGGCAC